Molecule: ribosomal RNA, 253 nt
Filed under: uncultured bacterium
Lineage: Bacteria
Description: partial 16S ribosomal RNA
Rfam family: Bacterial small subunit ribosomal RNA
Source: RNAcentral
UACGUAGGGGGCAAGCGUUGUCCGGAAUCAUUGGGCGUAAAGCGCGCGUAGGCGGCCCGGUAAGUCCGCUCUGAAAGUCCAGGGCUCAACCCUGGAAUGCGGGUGGAUACUGCCGGGCUAGAGUCCGGAAGAGGCGAGUGGAAUUCCUGGUGUAGCGGUGGAAUGCGCAGAUAUCAGGAGGAACACCAAUAGCGAAGGCAGCUCGCUGGGACGGUACUGACGCUAAGGCGCGAAAGCGUGGGGAGCGAACAGG